Molecule: ribosomal RNA, 253 nt
Filed under: uncultured prokaryote
Description: partial 16S ribosomal RNA
Rfam family: Bacterial small subunit ribosomal RNA
Source: RNAcentral
ACGGAGGGUGCAAGCGUUAUCCGGAUUCACUGGGUUUAAAGGGUGCGUAGGUGGUUUUGUAAGUCAGUGGUGAAAGCCCGGAGCUUAACUCCGGAACUACCAUUGAUACUGCUUAACUUGAAUCAACUUGAGGUGGAUGGAAUAUUACAUGUAGCGGUGAAAUGCUUAGAUAUGUAAUAGAACACCGAUUGCGAAGGCAGUUCACUAAGGUUGUAUUGACACUGAGGCACGAAAGCGUGGGGAUCAAACAGGA